GAUGAACGCUAGCGGGAGGCCUAACACAUGCAAGCCGAGCGGUAUUGUUUCUUCGGAAAUGAGAGAGCGGCGUACGGGUGCGGGACACGUGUGCAACCUGCCUUUAUCUGGGGGAUAGCCUUUCGAAAGGAAGAUUAAUACUCCAUAAUAUAUUGAACGGCAUCGUUUAAUAUUGAAAGCUCCGGCGGAUAGAGAUGGGCACGCGCAAGAUUAGCUAGUUGGUGAGGUAACGGCUCACCAAGGCGAUGAUCUUUAGGGGGCCUGAGAGGGUGAUCCCCCACACUGGUACUGAGACCAGGACCAGACUCCUACGGGAGGCAGCAGUGAGGAAUAUUGGUCAAUGGGUGCAAGCCUGAACCAGCCAUCCCGCGUGAAGGACGACUGCCCUAUGGGUUGUAAACUUCUUUUGUAUAGGAAUAAACCUACCCUCGUGAGGGUAGCUGAAGGUACUAUACGAAUAAGCACCGGCUAACUCCGUGCCAGCCGCCGCAGUAA
Molecule: ribosomal RNA, 495 nt
Filed under: uncultured bacterium
Lineage: Bacteria
Description: partial 16S ribosomal RNA
Rfam family: Bacterial small subunit ribosomal RNA
Source: RNAcentral